GCCAAAGAGAAAAGUAAUACUCGCGCAAAGUGCGCUUAGCGUAACUAAUAGGAACCUAGUUAUAAGCAGGCACCAUCUGAAGGGAGCAAGCCUCCCUGGCCCCCUCGAGUAGUACCCACCUUGUCGAGGUGAGGGGGCUUGCCGGCUGUCACCAUGAUCAUAUCUGUCCGGGCCGGUAUGAUCAUGGUGACGGGGAUUACUAAGAGGUACUCAGUCGUCCGGGACCUGCAUGAGCGACCGCACACUGUGGGCAGGCGCAUGCAGGCGUCGGUGUGUAAGCAGUUGCUGAAAGGACUUGGCACACCCGAGUACGCUUCUGUUGGAAGCAAGUGUAGUUUUUCUCGGCCCAGAUGUUGGAUUGACUGCUGGGAGUGCUUCGAGCAGUGAAGGGAUGUCAGUGGACUUGCACCCACCCUGGCAUCUUUAGUACCUGCUUCCUCGGGCUUUGGUUUCGGCCUAUGGGGUAGGAGUUGUUGGCUGCAUACUUCAGCUCUGAGAACGCUAUUCAGAUUGUCUUUCCGAUGUCUGGGGUCCCUGCGGUUUCGGGAUUUUAAGAAUUGAGCCGCCGUCUGUCCCACGUGAGGUA
Molecule: long non-coding RNA, 586 nt
Filed under: Androctonus crassicauda
Lineage: Eukaryota; Metazoa; Arthropoda; Arachnida; Scorpiones; Buthidae
Source: RNAcentral